CUCCUCAAGAAUUAAUUUGAGGUAUAGCCUGCUCUAUGAAUUUAUUUAAAUGGCCGCGGUAUUCUGACCGUGCAAAGGUAGCAUAAUCAUUAGUCUUUUAAUUGAAGGCUGGUAUGAAUGGCUGGACGAGAAAAUUUCUGUCUCUGUUAUAAAUUUUGAAUUUGAUUUUUAAGUGAAAAAGCUUAAAUAUUUUUGGGGGACGAUAAGACCCUAUGGAUCUUUUGGGUUGGGGCGACUGGAAGAAAAGAAUAUCUCUUCUUAAAAAUAAAUAUUAUUUAUAGAAUUAAAAAUGACCCUAAAUUUUGGUUUAGCAGAUCAAGUUACCCUAGGGAUAACAGCGUAAUCUUUUUGGAGAGUUCAUAUCGAUGAAAAGGUUUGCGACCUCGAUGUUGGAUUAAGAGAUCCUUGCGGCGCAGCAGUUGCGGAGGAAAGUCUGUUCGACUUUUAAAUUCUUACA
RNAcentral lists this ribosomal RNA (457 nucleotides) under Triops cancriformis. RNAcentral describes it as "partial 16S ribosomal RNA". It matches the Rfam family "Bacterial large subunit ribosomal RNA", at positions 1829 to 2600 of the family's 2925-position model. The record is from RNAcentral. Lineage: Eukaryota; Metazoa; Arthropoda; Branchiopoda; Notostraca; Triopsidae.